This 253-nucleotide ribosomal RNA is filed under the name uncultured bacterium. RNAcentral describes it as "partial 16S ribosomal RNA". It matches the Rfam family "Bacterial small subunit ribosomal RNA", at positions 524 to 776 of the family's 1533-position model. The record is from RNAcentral.
UACGUAGGGUGCAAGCGUUAAUCGGAAUUACGGGGCGUAAAGCGUGCGCAGGCGGUUCGCUAAGACAGAUGUGAAAUCCCCGGGCUUAACCUGGGAACUGCAUUUGUGACUGGCGGGCUAGAGUAUGGCAGAGGGGGGUAGAAUUCCACGUGUAGCAGUGAAAUGCGUAGAGAUGUGGAGGAACACCGAUGGCGAAGGCAGCCCCCUGGGUUAACACUGACGCUCAGGCACGAAAGCGUGGGGAGCAAACAGG